AUUGAACGCUGGCGGCAGGCCUAACCCAUGCAAGUCGAGCGAGUGCCGGACGGGCGAGUAAUGUAUGGGGCUCUGCCCGCUAGAGGGGGAUAACUACUGGAAACUGUGGCUAAUACCGCAUUCCAUCCGCUGAACCCAUAUGGGAUUAGCGAGUAGGUGGGGUAAUAGCGCACCUAGGCGACGAUCCCUAGCUGGUCUGAGAGGAUGAGCAGCCACACUAGGACUGUGACAGUGCCCAGACUCCUACGGAAGGCAGCGGUGGGGAAUAUUGCAGAAAAGGCGCAAGCCUGAUGCAGCCAUGCCGAGUGUAUGAAAAAGGCCUCGGGGUUGUGAAGUACUUUCAGCGGAGAGGGGUUGCCCGGAGAAGAAGCACCGACUAACUCCGUGCCAGCAGCCGCGGUAAUAC
This 406-nucleotide ribosomal RNA is filed under the name uncultured bacterium. Its description in RNAcentral is "partial 16S ribosomal RNA". It matches the Rfam family "Bacterial small subunit ribosomal RNA", at positions 30 to 526 of the family's 1533-position model. The record is from RNAcentral.